Molecule: long non-coding RNA, 796 nt
Filed under: Ananas comosus (pineapple)
Lineage: Eukaryota; Viridiplantae; Streptophyta; Magnoliopsida; Poales; Bromeliaceae
Description: long non-coding RNA (ACOM_LNC036229)
Source: RNAcentral
AGAAGAAGAAGCUGCUGCUUCUCUUAUAAUUAACACCCCUCAAAACACUAUUCAUCCCGGGCAGCUUGAAAUCUGAUAUCUUUCGCCGGAGCUCCCUGAAUGUCCGUUUGAGCUCAAACUUGACAGUCAUGUUCGGUUUUACUUAACUUAACAAGCUGACGAUCACUGAUUCAGUUUCGACCCCGUUUGGUCACUGAAAACUGUACCGAACUGCAAUCUUUAUCAGAUAGCUUUCGGAUUUUAUUUCUCACUCUAUGGGUGUCAGAAAAAUAUGAAACCUUAAAUCUAGCCUCAUAAAAAUAUUUCUGACAUCUCUGCCAAUUUUCAUAAUUUUCUGAGACUGUGCAUUUUCUGCUAAUUUAUCUGCCCCGUUUCCAACAGAAAAUUCUAAAUCUUCUGUUUUAAUUCCGAUUUCAGCACGGGUCAUUCCCAACUUAUAUUUCACUUCUCUAAAUUCAAUAAAAUAGUAUCUCAUACUAUUUUUAUUUAUUUCUAUUUUUAUAUUUAAAUCCGGUAUAUUACAUUACACCGCAACCUUACCGGAAUCAUUCAAAUGGCUCUCCAACCAAAUGGACACCGUAACCUCAUGAUUUUAGAAGUCCGGUACCUUACAUUCUCCCCUUCUUAAUAAGAGUUUCGUCCCCGAAACUCAAAUCACUCCUUAACUCGACUUAUCGAGCAAUCGGAAAUUCCAAUACACUUUCCCACCUCGGAGUGGCCUUUCACUUAUUAGAACUGUUCAAAGGCCCACCUCGGAGGAUGUGAGACUAGAUAUGCUCACAUUUGCUAUGUGCAA